Molecule: ribosomal RNA, 506 nt
Filed under: uncultured bacterium
Lineage: Bacteria
Description: partial 16S ribosomal RNA
Rfam family: Bacterial small subunit ribosomal RNA
Source: RNAcentral
AGUGAACGCUGGCGGUAGGCCUAACACAUGCAAGUCGAACGGCAGCACAGAGGAGCUUGCUCCUUGGGUGGCGAGUGGCGGACGGGUGAGGAAUACAUCGGAAUCUACUCUGUCGUGGGGGAUAACGUAGGGAAACUUACGCUAAUACCGCAUACGACCUACGGGUGAAAGCAGGGGAUCUUCGGACCUUGCGCGAUUGAAUGAGCCGAUGUCGGAUUAGCUGGUUGGCGGGGUAAAGGCCCACCAAGGCGACGAUCCGUAGCUGGUCUGAGAGGAUGAUCAGCCACACUGGAACUGAGACACGGUCCAGACUCCUACGGGAGGCAGCAGUGGGGAAUAUUGGACAAUGGGCGCAAGCCUGAUCCAGCCAUACCGCGUGGGUGAAGAAGGCCUUCGGGUUGUAAAGCCCUUUUGUUGGGAAAGAAAUCCAUCUGGUUAAUACCCGGAUGGGAUGACGGUACCCAAAGAAUAAGCACCGGCUAACUUCGUGCCAGCCGCCGCGGUAA